UCGGGAAUUUUGUGCAAUGGGCGAAAGCCUGACACAGCAACGCCGCGUGAAGGAUGAAGUCCCUCGGGAUGUAAACUUCGUAAGAAUAGGAAGAAUAAAUGACGGUACUAUUUGUAAGGUCCGGCUAACUACGUGCCAGCAGCCGCGGUAAUACGUAGGGACCAAGCGUUGUUCGGAUUUACUGGGCGUAAAGGGUGCGUAGGCGGCAUAUCAAGUCACUUGUGAAAUCUCCGGGCUUAACUCGGAACUGCCAAGUGAUACUGAUGUGCUAGAGUGCAGAAAGGGCAACUGGAAUUCUUGGUGUAGCGGUGAAAUGCGUAGAUAUCAAGAGGAACACCUGAGGCGAAGGCGAGUUGCUAGGCUGACACUGACGCCGAGGUACGAAAGCUAGGGGAGCGAACGGGAUUAGAUACCCCGGUAGUCCCUGAGCGGGCUGGCAAGGCGCAU
RNAcentral lists this ribosomal RNA (447 nucleotides) under uncultured bacterium. RNAcentral describes it as "bacterial SSU rRNA". It matches the Rfam family "Bacterial small subunit ribosomal RNA", at positions 355 to 825 of the family's 1533-position model. The record is from RNAcentral.